Molecule: long non-coding RNA, 2931 nt
Filed under: Homo sapiens (human)
Lineage: Eukaryota; Metazoa; Chordata; Mammalia; Primates; Hominidae
Description: HSALNT0122025
Source: RNAcentral
GCCACCUGGGAGGCUGAGAUGAGAGGAGUGCUUAUGCCCUGGAGGUCAACGCUGCAGUGAGCUGUGAUUGCACCACUGCACUCCACCUGACAGAGUGACACCCCCCCAUCUCUAAAAAAUAAAAAAAAAAAAGUGGGAAGAACAAUCACACCACGGUUUAACUGAUCAGCUACGAUGGGAACUGUGAAAGGCAUUCCACAGAGUGAAUCAAGGCUUCAGGAGGAGGCCCUGACUUAUCCUGGAGGCAGAGGGUUCUCCCAGGAAUGGCGUCUUAGCUGAAGCCUGACCCAGAAGGUAGACGGGCAGGAACGAGGUAAUGUGGAGACUGUUGGGAGCAGGCAAGGACUUCAUCCCAAGGCAAUGGGAGGCCCUCUGUACUCCCUCUUGUGAUAACUGCUUCCCUUCUUUCGGGCAGUGCUCCUGACCCCACUCUAGCUGUGUGGGUGGGUCCCUACCUGGUUGAGUCAACCAGAUCCCAUCCCUGGGAUUUUAAACUUGGAACCAGAAGGAGAGUGAUCAUCACCUCUUUUCUAGGGUGAAUCAAUGAGAAGUGAGGCUCCGAAGCUUGGAUCUCAAGUUCACAGAAGCAGCUGGUUGAGGGUGAAGCUUGCACACAGAGGCCAAGGAAGGAUGCCUACCCAUGUCCAGCUGCCCCAGGGCCCUUUCAGGACUGCUAUUUUGAGCCCCUUCCUUCCUUAACUGGUUUGAAUUGGUCACCGUCACUUGCAACCUAUUGAGUCCUAGCUAAUGUACCAUGACAGGGUUCAAGACUUGGUCAGAGAAGAGCUGGGGUAUAGGAUGCUGGGGAAGGGUACCCAUUAAUCCUCCCUUCUAAGUGGUAACUGAGAGAAUGAACAAGAACAAUAUACAGUUAAAUGAAAAUAAAAAGGCACAGUGGCUCAAGCCUAUAAUCCCAGCACUUUGGGAGGCCGAGGCAGGCAGAUCACAAGGUCAGGAGUUCGAGACCAGCCUAACCAACAUGGUGAAACCCCAUCUCUACUAAAAUUACAAGAAUUAGCCAGGCGUGAUGGCGCGCCACCUGUAAUCCCAGCUGCUCAGGAGGCUGAGCAGGAGAAUCACUUGAACCCGGGAGGCGGAAGUUGCAGUGAGCUGAGAUCAUGCCACUGCACUCCAGCCUGGGCGACAGAGCAAGACUCCGUCUUAAAAAAAAAAAAAAAGAAAAUAAACACAGACGCUUUAAGGAUCAGUUAACAACAAGACACAGACUCUAAUAUUCACUGACAUAAAGUUUCAGAAAGGGCAAAAUUAAUCUCUGGUGACAGGGGCCAGAACAGUGAUGACCUGGGGUGGGGUGUGGGUUGGUCUCUCCUGUGAGGUUUGGAAGGGCAGGUACACACGCGUGUGCACUUACCAAAACCUACUGCACUGUGCAUCCGACUGCACUGAUGUCCCUGGCUUCUUUGAGGCAACUUGGGUGACAGGCCAUCCUGAGCCAGUCAUGUCUUGCCCUCCCACUCAGGGCAGAAUGGGAGGGAAGCUGGCCCCUCACAUGAAUACGGGGAAUUAGGAAGUGUUUUCUCCUCCACAAUGUUUGGGAGAAUUUGGGGAUUUAUGUCCAUUCUUUAGCAUUUGGUAGAAUUCACCAUCUGGUCCUGGGCUUUUCUUUUGUUGGGAAGCUUUUGAUGACUGGUUCUACCUAUGUGUUUUAGGUUGGUUCAGAUUUUUUCCUUUUUCUUCUUUUUUUGAGGUCAGGUCUCUGUCUCUGCCUCAUUCCUGGCUGGAGUGCAGUGGUGCUGUCAUAGGUCGUUGCAGCUUUGAACUCCUGGGCUCUAGCCAUCCUCCUAACUAGUUCUCCCCAAGUGCUGGGAUCACAGGUGUGAGCCACUGCACCUGGCCCUGUUCAGAUUUUCUAUUUUUCCUGGGACAAUUUUGGUCAUUUGUAUCUUUCUAGGAAUUUUUUUGUUGUUGUUUUGAGACAGAGUCUCACUCUGUCACCCAAGCUGGAGUGCAAUGGCAUGAUCUCAGCUCACUGCAACCUCUGCCUCCUGGGUUCAAGUGAUUUUCCUGCCUCAGCCUCGUGAAUAGCUGGGAUUACAGGUGUGAGCCACCACGCCUGGCUAAUUUUUGUGUUUUUAGUAGAGACAGGGUUUCACCACUUUGGCCAGGUUGGUCUCGAACUUCUGACCUCAGGUGAUCUGCCUGCCUCGGCCUCCCAAAGUGCCGCGAUUACAGGCGUGAGCCACCACACCCAGCCAAGAUGUCGCAUCUUUUUAAAUGUUGGCAUUUGCAGCUAUAAAUUUCCCUCAGAGCAGUUUUUGCCGCAUUCCUUAAGUUCUGGUAUGUUGUUUUCAUCCAUCUCUAUUUCCUAAUUUUUCUCGUGAUUUCUCCUUUGACCCUUUGGCUGUUAAAAAGUGUGUUCAAUUUCUAUGUAUGUGUGAAUUUUCAUUUUCCUUCUGGUAUGGAUUUCUGGUUUUAUUCCAUUGUGAUUGGAGAAGGUGGUUUGCAGGAUUCCGAUCUCUAAUUUACUGAGACUUGCUUUGUGCACUAACGUGUGGUCUGUCCUGGAGAACGUUCCCUGUGCACUUAGAAACGUGUGUUCUGCUGCUAUUGGGUGGAGCACUGUUAAGUCUGGUCAGCCUUUUGGUUUUUAUGUAAUACUUGGCACAUUCACAAGAAAAUGUGUGAAACAGAAAGUACGACAAAGUGAAACCCACGAAGCCACCACUGACCCUGAGGUUCAAAACCUCCAGCAUCUCUGCUCUUCCCUAAGCACAGCUCCGUCCCCUCCCCACGGGUGAGCACUGUGUUGUACUGACUCCCUGCCCUCCCUGAUGACUUUAGCACCUGGGUAUGAAUUCCACACAUAUUUGGUUUUGAGCUUUAUAAAAAUGGCAUCAUACUGUAUGAACUGUCUUGCUUUUUCAUCCCACGUUGUUUCUGAGAGGUGUUUGUGAUGGAGCACAGGGCCAC